CAACUUUUUCACCUGGUUUAUUAUCACCCUUGAAAGUGGACCAUGCUAUCAAUUUCAAAUAUCAAGGCAUAACACGCAGUCUGUAUGGAACCGGAAAGAGAAAGCAGAGGAGGUCUGUAUUCGUCAUGCCAAAAAGUAGUUUCUCCGUGUGCCACCUGCCUGUUCUGUAGCACAUUGCUUUCACUAUACCCAGGCCAAGGCUGUGAUGGAUUUCUCUCUGUGUGUAGGAAGAUUGGAGGCAUAGAAAGUAAUGUUGAAAGGGUCAAAGUUGUUGGAGUGAAUUGGAGAAGGUGGCCCUGGAAGUGGUCUGAAAAGCCAGCAGAUAAUGUCGUUGCACAGGUGUGAAGAAAUAGGGCCUUCUGACACACAAAGCACAAUGCAUCCUUAUAUGAGGUGCCUGAAUGCAGUGCUCUGUCCUGAGAGAUGAAACUUUGUGACAAGGAUCAUUUUUCUCUUUUGUACCCUCAUGUGUCCCACAUGCCUGGAGUUCAACCUGGAACAAAAUCUGCAUGUAGUAAAUAUUUAUUGCAUUGGCUUAAAUUCUCAGGAGAAUGAGAUUUUUUAGUGGAUUUAGCUGCCUAAAAUGUUCAGCAUUGCUCAGUUGUUUUAAGAUGGGCAUGUUACUUAAGAUAGAGAAAAUUAUGCCAGUGUAAUUUGUUUUCUAAUAUCAAUAGAACAACACUUGUAAUAAACAUGAUUUUCUUCUCAACA
Molecule: long non-coding RNA, 711 nt
Organism: Marmota monax (woodchuck)
Lineage: Eukaryota; Metazoa; Chordata; Mammalia; Rodentia; Sciuridae
Exons: 3
Source: RefSeq, a predicted model, not a curated record